Molecule: non-coding RNA, 83 nt
Organism: Stygiomarasmius scandens
Lineage: Eukaryota; Fungi; Basidiomycota; Agaricomycetes; Agaricales; Campanellaceae
Source: the annotation of a GenBank genome assembly
GCAUUAAUGGGGUAGUGGUAACCUGGGUCGUUGCCACAAGAAGAUUGCUCGACCCGCCGGGGGUUCGAUUCCCUCUUAAUGCA